Molecule: ribosomal RNA, 375 nt
Filed under: uncultured eukaryote
Lineage: Eukaryota
Description: partial 18S ribosomal RNA
Rfam family: Eukaryotic small subunit ribosomal RNA
Source: RNAcentral
CAAUAGCGUAUAUUUAAGUUGUUGCAGUUAAAAAGCUCGUAGUUGGAUUUCGGUUAAGAGCGACCGGUCCGCCGUUUGGUGUGCACUGGUUGGUUUUAACUUCCUGUAGAGGACGUGCUCUGGGUUUAACGACCUGGACUCGGAGUCUACGUGGUUACUUUGAAAAAAUUAGAGUGUUCAAAGCGGGCUUACGCUUGAAUAUUUCAGCAUGGAAUAACACUAUAGGACUCCUGUCCUAUUUCGUUGGUCUCGGGACGGGAGUAAUGAUUAAGAGGAACAGUUGGGGGCAUUCGUAUUUCAUUGUCAGAGGUGAAAUCCUUGGAUUUAUGAAAGACGAACUUCUGCGAAAGCAUUUGCCAAGGAUUUUUUCAUUAA